GACGAACGCUGGCGGCGUGCUUAACACAUGCAAGUCGAACGGAAAGGCCCUGCUUUUGUGGGGUGCUCGAGUGGCGAACGGGUGAGUAACACGUGAGUAACCUGCCCUUGACUUUGGGAUAACUUCAGGAAACUGGGGCUAAUACCGGAUAGGAGCUCCUGCUGCAUGGUGGGGGUUGGAAAGUUUCGGCGGUUGGGGAUGGACUCGCGGCUUAUCAGCUGGUUGGGGGGGUAGUGGCUUUCCAAGGGUUUGACGGGUAGCCGGCCUGAGAGGGUGACCGGCCACAUUGGGACUGAGAUACGGCCCAGACUCCUACGGGAGGCAGCAGUGGGGAAUAUUGCACAAUGGGCGGAAGCCUGAUGCAGCAACGCCGCGUGCGGGAUGACGGCCUUCGGGUUGUAAACCGCUUUCGCCUGUGACGAAGCGUGAGUGACGGUAAUGGGUAAAGAAGCACCGGCUAACUACGUG
This 468-nucleotide ribosomal RNA is filed under the name uncultured bacterium. RNAcentral describes it as "partial 16S ribosomal RNA". It matches the Rfam family "Bacterial small subunit ribosomal RNA", at positions 28 to 507 of the family's 1533-position model. The record is from RNAcentral.